UCUAAGGGCUUCUGCUGUGAGUGGCACAUAGAAGGGGGUGGCUGCAGUUUUGCCUCUUUCUAUGCGGAAUCACUAUCAAGAGAUUUUGGAAAUUGAGACCCAGUUUGGUGUAGUGGUUAAGAGUGCCAUACUCUAAUCUG
Eublepharis macularius is the source of this 140-nucleotide small nuclear RNA. RefSeq annotates it as U11 spliceosomal RNA. NCBI's taxonomy places the organism in Eukaryota, Metazoa, Chordata, Lepidosauria, Squamata, Eublepharidae. The transcript has a single exon. The record is from RefSeq and is a predicted model, not a curated record.